Molecule: transfer RNA, 76 nt
Filed under: Myxococcales bacterium
Lineage: Bacteria; Pseudomonadati; Myxococcota; Myxococcia; Myxococcales
Description: tRNA-Pro
Rfam family: tRNA
About the family: Transfer RNA (tRNA) molecules are approximately 80 nucleotides in length. Their secondary structure includes four short double-helical elements and three loops (D, anti-codon, and T loops).
Source: RNAcentral
CGGGGUGUGGCCUAGCCUGGACCAAGGCGCCAGCCUCGGAUGCUGGAGAUCGUGGGUUCGAAUCCCACCGCCCCGA